GCCGUAGAUUUCUUCGUAAGCGGCGGCAAUUUCGUCCUCGGUUUCCAUAGGGCCAUCGUCAAAGGAGGGAGGUGGGACGAAGCCUUCUGGGGGUGGGGUGGGUUCGAAAACGACUUCUUCCUGGAGGCUGGGGUCUUCGAAGAAAGUGGUUUCGGAGUCGGCGGCUUUAAGUUUGGUGGUGGAUGUGAGUUUAAAGGGGAAGACAGGAAAAGGUUUCGAGGCUUUGGAUUUGGGAGUGAGGUUGUUAGGAAGUGGGUGUUGGUUGAGGACAGAGAAUCGAGUUGUACGGAUGGAUAGUGAGGAAAAUGAGGAGAGAGAGGUUGCAGAGAAGGCCAUCGCCGUGAAUAGGAGGAA
RNAcentral lists this long non-coding RNA (354 nucleotides) under Vitis vinifera (wine grape). RNAcentral describes it as "long non-coding RNA (VVIN_LNC007980)". Lineage: Eukaryota; Viridiplantae; Streptophyta; Magnoliopsida; Vitales; Vitaceae. The record is from RNAcentral.